Molecule: ribosomal RNA, 375 nt
Filed under: uncultured organism
Description: partial 16S ribosomal RNA
Rfam family: Bacterial small subunit ribosomal RNA
Source: RNAcentral
GUAGGUGGCAAACGUUGUCCGGAAUUAUUGGGCGUAAAGCGCGCGCAGGCGGGGUCCUUUAAGUCUGAUGUGAAAGCCCACGGGCUCAACCGUGGAGGGUCAUUGGAAACUGGGGGACUUGAGUACAGAAGAGGAAAGCGGAAUUCCAAGUGUAGCGGUGAAAUGCGUAGAGAUUUGGAGGAACACCAGUGGCGAAGGCGGCUUUCUGGUCUGUAACUGACGCUGAGGCGCGAAAGCGUGGGGAGCAAACAGGAUUAGAUACCCUGGUAGUCCACGCCGUAAACGAUGAGUGCUAAGUGUUAGGGGGUUUCCGCCCCUUAGUGCUGCAGCUAACGCAUUAAGCACUCCGCCUGGGGAGUACGGCCGCAAAGGCUG